UCCUAGCCGUAAACGGUGAACACUAGGUGUGUCCCGAGUUAUCGGGAUGUGCCGAAGCUAACGCAUUAAGUGUUCCGCCUGGGGAGUACGCUCGCAAGGGUGAAACUCAAAGGAAUUGACGGGGGCCCGCACAAGCGGUGGAGCAUGUGGUUUAAUUCGAUGCUACGCGAAGAACCUUACCUGGGUUUGACAUUGUAGUGAAAUUUUAUGGAAACAUAGAACCUCCAGCAAUGGACACUAUAACAGGUGCUGCAUGGCUGUCGUCAGCUCGUGUCGUGAGAUGUUGGGUUAAGUCCCGCAACGAGCGCAACCCUUAUCCUUA
Molecule: ribosomal RNA, 322 nt
Filed under: uncultured bacterium
Lineage: Bacteria
Description: bacterial SSU rRNA
Rfam family: Bacterial small subunit ribosomal RNA
Source: RNAcentral